AACCGCACCGGUGGCCUAAUGGUUAGAGCGUCCGCCUAGAAUGCGGGAGGUCGCUGGUUCGAAACCUGGUUGAGUUA
This is a non-coding RNA of Potamilus streckersoni, 77 nucleotides long. The record is from the annotation of a GenBank genome assembly. Lineage: Eukaryota; Metazoa; Mollusca; Bivalvia; Unionida; Unionidae.